RNAcentral lists this unclassified non-coding RNA (324 nucleotides) under Hevea brasiliensis (rubber tree). Lineage: Eukaryota; Viridiplantae; Streptophyta; Magnoliopsida; Malpighiales; Euphorbiaceae. The record is from RNAcentral.
GCCAAAUCAAAUCUUAACUUAUUAUAAGUAGGGAAACUUUCCAGAAGCCAACACCCCAAAUAUACUCGAAUACUAAAUUAGCAAUUUGUCUUUGCAUGCGCUUAUCAGCUGGCUAGGUUCUUGAGCUGCGACUUACAUUUUUGCUCAAAUGGUGGACCAAAUUCAUGACUUGAACUUUGAAAGCUCCACCCAAAAUUUUCUUUCCUCACCCCUUUUCAAUAAUUUCUUUUUUCCUUAUCACCCCUUUUGGAAAUUUGCCUUGGAAAUGGCCAUCUCCCUAUGAAAGGAAGAUGUAACCAAUUCAUCAUUUGAUGUUUGCCAGAA